RNAcentral lists this microRNA (22 nucleotides) under Callorhinchus milii (elephant shark). RNAcentral's name for it is "eshark_NOVEL_14". Lineage: Eukaryota; Metazoa; Chordata; Chondrichthyes; Chimaeriformes; Callorhinchidae. The record is from RNAcentral.
UUCUGCGAGACGUGGAACAGGC